RNAcentral lists this ribosomal RNA (253 nucleotides) under uncultured bacterium. RNAcentral describes it as "partial 16S ribosomal RNA". It matches the Rfam family "Bacterial small subunit ribosomal RNA", at positions 524 to 776 of the family's 1533-position model. The record is from RNAcentral.
UACGGGGGGGGCAAGCGUUGUUCGGAAUUACUGGGCGUAAAGGGCGCGUAGGCGGCCUGCUAAGUCGGACGUGAAAUCCCCCGGCUCAACCGGGGAACUGCGUCCGAUACUGGUGGGCUCGAAUUCGGGAGAGGGAUGUGGAAUUCCAGGUGUAGCGGUGAAAUGCGUAGAUAUCUGGAGGAACACCGGUGGCGAAGGCGGCAUCCUGGACCGACAUUGACGCUGAGGCGCGAAAGCCAGGGGAGCAAACGGG